This 252-nucleotide ribosomal RNA is filed under the name uncultured bacterium. RNAcentral's name for it is "partial 16S ribosomal RNA". It matches the Rfam family "Bacterial small subunit ribosomal RNA", at positions 524 to 776 of the family's 1533-position model. The record is from RNAcentral.
UACGUAGGGGGCAAGCGUUGUCCGGAAUUAUUGGGCGUAAAGCGCGCGCAGGCGGCCAUUUAAGUCUGGUGUUUAAUCCCGGGGCUCAACUCCGGGUCGCACUGGAAACUGGGUGGCUUGAGUGCAGAAGAGGAGAGUGGAAUUCCACGUGUAGCGGUGAAAUGCGUAGAGAUGUGGAGGAACACCAGUGGCGAAGGCGACUCUCUGGGCUGUAACUGACGCUGAGGCGCGAAAGCGUGGGUAGCAAACAGG